GAUGAAGAACGCAGUGAAAUGCGAUAAGUAAUGCGAAUUGCAGAAUUCAGUGAGUCAUCGAAUCUUUGAACGCACAUUGCGCCCCUUGGUAUCCCGAGGGGCAUGCCUGUUCGAGCGUCAUUUCACCACUCAAGCCUGGCUUGGUGUUGGGCGACGUCCCCUUUGGGGACGCGCCUCGAAACGCUCGGCGGCGUGGCACCGGCUUUAAGCGUAGCAGAAUCUUUCGCUUUGGAAGUCGGGGCCCCGUCUGCCGGAAGACCUACUCGCAAGGUUGACCUCGGAUCAGGCAGGGAUACCCGCUGAACUUAAGCAUAUCAAUAAGCGGAGGA
This 329-nucleotide unclassified non-coding RNA is filed under the name soil metagenome. RNAcentral describes it as "partial contains 5.8S ribosomal RNA, internal transcribed spacer 2, and large subunit ribosomal RNA". The stretch from base 1 to 120 matches the Rfam family "5.8S ribosomal RNA", at positions 35 to 154 of the family's 154-position model. The record is from RNAcentral.